UACGGGGGGGGCAAGCGUUGUUCGGAAUUACUGGGCGUAAAGGGCGCGUAGGCGGCCUUCUAAGUCAGACGUGAAAUCCCUCGGCUCAACCGAGGAACUGCGUCUGAUACUGGAAGGCUUGAAUCCGGGAGAGGGAUGUGGAAUUCCAGGUGUAGCGGUGAAAUGCGUAGAUAUCUGGAGGAACACCGGUGGCGAAGGCGGCAUCCUGGACCGGUAUUGACGCUGAGGCGCGAAAGCUAGGGAAGCAAACGGG
RNAcentral lists this ribosomal RNA (253 nucleotides) under uncultured bacterium. Its description in RNAcentral is "partial 16S ribosomal RNA". It matches the Rfam family "Bacterial small subunit ribosomal RNA", at positions 524 to 776 of the family's 1533-position model. The record is from RNAcentral.